UACGUAGGGGGCAAGCGUUGUCCGGAAUCAUUGGGCGUAAAGCGCGUGUAGGCGGCCCGGUAAGUCCGCUGUGAAAGUCGGGGGCUCAACCCUCGGAUGCCGGUGGAUACUGUCGGGCUAGAGUGCGGAAGAGGCGAGUGGAAUUCCUGGUGUAGCGGUGAAAUGCGCAGAUAUCAGGAGGAACACCAAUUGCGAAGGCAGCUCGCUGGGACGUGACUGACGCUGAGGAGCGAAAGCGUGGGGAGCAAACAGG
Molecule: ribosomal RNA, 253 nt
Filed under: uncultured bacterium
Lineage: Bacteria
Description: partial 16S ribosomal RNA
Rfam family: Bacterial small subunit ribosomal RNA
Source: RNAcentral